UCAGGAUGAACGCUAGCGACAGGCCUAACACAUGCAAGUCGAGGGGCAGCACAAGGAGCAAUCUGAGGUGGCGACCGGCGCGACGGGUGAGUAACACGUAUGCAACCUGCCUGUAAGCGGGGAAUAACCCGUUGAAAGACGGACUAAUACCGCAUAAUACUAAAUUACUGCAUGGUAAUUUAUUUAAACAUUUAUGGCUUACAGAUGGGCAUGCGCAUGAUUAGCUAGUUGGAGAGGUAACGGCUCCCCAAGGCAACGAUCAUUAGGGGUUCUGAGAGGAAGGUCCCCCACACUGGUACUGAGACACGGACCAGACUCCUACGGGAGGCAGCAGUGAGGAAUAUUGGUCAAUGGACGAGAGUCUGAACCAGCCAAGUCGCGUGCAGGAAGAAUGCCCUAUGGAUUGUAAACUUCUUUUAUAAGGGAAUAAAGUGAGGGACGUGUCCCUUUUUGUAUGUACCUUAUGAAUAAGGAUCGGCUAACUCCGUGCCAGCCGCUGC
Molecule: ribosomal RNA, 500 nt
Filed under: uncultured bacterium
Lineage: Bacteria
Description: bacterial SSU rRNA
Rfam family: Bacterial small subunit ribosomal RNA
Source: RNAcentral